GAUGAACGCUGGCGGCGUGCCUAAUACAUGCAAGUCGAGCGAACAGACGAGGAGCUUGCUCCUCUGACGUUAGCGGCGGACGGGUGAGUAACACGUGGAUAACCUACCUAUAAGACUGGGAUAAAUUCGGGAAACCGGAGCUAAUACCGGAUAAUAUAUUGAACCGCAUGGUUCAAUAGUGAAAGACGGUUUUGCUGUCACUUAUAGAUGGAUCCGCGCCGCAUUAGCUAGUUGGUAAGGUAACGGCUUACCAAGGCAACGAUGCGUAGCCGACCUGAGAGGGUGAUCGGCCACACUGGAACUGAGACACGGUCCAGACUCCUACGGGAGGCAGCAGUAGGGAAUCUUCCACAAUGGGCGAAAGCCUGACGGAGCAACGCCGCGUGAGUGAUGAAGGUCUUCGGAUCGUAAAACUCUGUUAUUAGGGAAGAACAAAUGUGUAAGUAACUAGGCACGUCUUGACGGUACCUAAUCAGAAAGCCACGGCUAACUACGUG
Molecule: ribosomal RNA, 497 nt
Filed under: uncultured bacterium
Lineage: Bacteria
Description: partial 16S ribosomal RNA
Rfam family: Bacterial small subunit ribosomal RNA
Source: RNAcentral